This 253-nucleotide ribosomal RNA is filed under the name uncultured bacterium. Its description in RNAcentral is "partial 16S ribosomal RNA". It matches the Rfam family "Bacterial small subunit ribosomal RNA", at positions 524 to 776 of the family's 1533-position model. The record is from RNAcentral.
UACGAGGGGGGCGAGCGUUGUUCGGAAUUAUUGGGCGUAAAGAGCGUGUAGGCGGCCAAGCAGGUCCGCUGUGAAAACUCGAGGCUCAACCUCGAGACGUCGGUGGAAACCGUUUGGCUAGAGUCCGGAAGAGGAGAGUGGAAUUCCCGGUGUAGCGGUGAAAUGCGCAGAUAUCGGGAAGAACACCCGUGGCGAAGGCGGCUCUCUGGGACGGUACUGACGCUGGGACGCGAAAGCGUGGGGAGCGAACAGG